This 497-nucleotide ribosomal RNA is filed under the name uncultured bacterium. RNAcentral's name for it is "partial 16S ribosomal RNA". It matches the Rfam family "Bacterial small subunit ribosomal RNA", at positions 28 to 507 of the family's 1533-position model. The record is from RNAcentral.
GAUGAACGCUGGCGGCGUGCCUAAUACAUGCAAGUCGAGCGAACAGACGAGGAGCUUGCUCCUCUGACGUUAGCGGCGGACGGGUGAGUAACACGUGGAUAACCUACCUAUAAGACUGGGAUAACUUCGGGAAACCGGAGCUAAUACCGGAUAAUAUAUUGAACCGCAUGGUUCAAUAGUGAAAGACGGUUUUGCUGUCACUUAUAGAUGGAUCCGCGCCGCAUUAGCUAGUUGGUAAGGUAACGGCUUACCAAGGCAACGAUGCGUAGCCGACCUGAGAGGGUGAUCGGCCACACUGGAGCUGGGACACGGUCCAGACUCCUACGGGAGGCAGCAGUAGGGAAUCUUCCGCAAUGGGCGAAAGCUUGACGGAGCAACGCCGCGUGAGUGAUGAAGGUCUUCGGAUCGUAAAACUCUGUUAUUGGGGAAAAACAGAUGUGUAAGUAACUAUGCACGUCUUGACGGUACCUAAUCAGAAAGCCACGGCUAACUACGUG